This 251-nucleotide ribosomal RNA is filed under the name uncultured prokaryote. RNAcentral describes it as "partial 16S ribosomal RNA". It matches the Rfam family "Bacterial small subunit ribosomal RNA", at positions 524 to 774 of the family's 1533-position model. The record is from RNAcentral.
UACGGAGGAUGCAAGCGUUAUCCGGAUUUAUUGGGUUUAAAGGGUGCGUAGGCGGAUAUGUAAGUCAGCGGUGAAACUCACAGGCUCAACCUGUGCCGUGCCGUUGAAACUGUGUAUCUGGAAUGCGGAUGCUGUGGGAGGAAUGUGUAGUGUAGCGGUGAAACGCAUAGAUAUUACACAGAACACCGAUUGCGAAGGCAUCUCACAAAGCCGUUAUUGACGCUGAGGCACGAAAGUGUGGGGAUCAAACA